RNAcentral lists this ribosomal RNA (519 nucleotides) under Triticum aestivum (bread wheat). RNAcentral's name for it is "partial small subunit ribosomal RNA". Lineage: Eukaryota; Viridiplantae; Streptophyta; Magnoliopsida; Poales; Poaceae. The record is from RNAcentral.
AUGCGGAGAUCGCGCGUAUCCGCGCCUCUCUGCCGCAGGCGGCGAGGAAAGGUCCGCGGUACGUCCCCGACAGCCCGCUGUGGGAGCCCUACUUCCGUCGCCGCCAUGCCGAGCAGCUCGAGGCCACCAAUGGCGUCGUGCCUUCCGGAAGGCUCAACUCCGAAGGCCGCCGCCGAUGGUGGGGCGUGCCCGGCCGCACGCUGGAGGCUGUCCUCGAGUACAUCAAGGGCGGCAACACGCCCAGGCUGGAGUACCCCGCUCCCCCGUCCUUUUCCCGCCGGCAUGGGAGCUCGUGGAUGCCGAGGCGCAUGGACCCGGGGGCGUCCUCCUCCUCGUCCGACCGUUCGUCCGGCUCUCCCUGCCUCCGCCCCGUCAAGCCGGAGCCCCAGGACACGCCGGUCAGCCAGCGCACCCGCAGCUCCGGUGUCCGCAUCGCCGACUCGUCCCCCACCACUGGCCGCCUCGUCCUCGUCAGGCCGAAGGUGGAGCCCGGCAUCCCCGCGGAGUACGAGGCCAUAG